GAUGAACGCUAGCGGCAGGCUUAACACAUGCAAGUCGAGGGGUAUUUAUCUUCGGAUAGAGAGACCGGCGCACGGGUGCGUAACGCGUAUGUAAUCUACCUUUUACAGAGGGAUAGCCCAGAGAAAUUUGGAUUAAUACCUCAUAGUAUAUAGACUCGGCAUCGAGAUUAUAUUAAAGUCACAACGGUAAAAGAUGAGCAUGCGUCCCAUUAGCUAGUUGGUAAGGUAACGGCUUACCAAGGCUACGAUGGGUAGGGGUCCUGAGAGGGAGAUCCCCCACACUGGUACUGAGACACGGACCAGACUCCUACGGGAGGCAGCAGUGAGGAAUAUUGAACAAUGGGCGCAAGCCUGAUCCAGCCAUGCCGCGUGCAGGAUGACGGUCCUAUGGAUUGUAAACUGCUUUUAUACGAGAAGAAACACUGCUACGUGUAGCAGCUUGACGGUAUCGUAAGAAUAAGGAUCGGCUAACUCCGUG
This 478-nucleotide ribosomal RNA is filed under the name uncultured bacterium. RNAcentral's name for it is "partial 16S ribosomal RNA". It matches the Rfam family "Bacterial small subunit ribosomal RNA", at positions 28 to 507 of the family's 1533-position model. The record is from RNAcentral.